Centruroides sculpturatus (bark scorpion) is the source of this 1181-nucleotide long non-coding RNA. RefSeq lists it as uncharacterized. Lineage: Eukaryota; Metazoa; Arthropoda; Arachnida; Scorpiones; Buthidae. The transcript has 4 exons. The record is from RefSeq and is a predicted model, not a curated record.
ACGCGUUUUUUAACGUUUGUUCGAAAUACGUCACACAUGACGAAUCGCAGUUCGACUGUGUUUCUCGUUGCUGUCGGACGUGCUUUUCUUUCGCUCUUGGAUUGCGUGCUGUUUUCUGCGGUUUCGUGCCUUUUACAGAGAAGAUUGAAGAUUUUUUAGGAUGAAGACGUUGGUGCGUUGUUGGAGGCGGUUCCGGCGGAGGCAGGCGGUGGCGCCGGAGGGAGAGGGUUCCUCGGACGACGCGGAACGAGUCUGUCGUUCCGUGCCGUUGGAGGAGCGGGGGCUCGACGAGCGACAGGCAGCGGGUGAAGAAGACCUUCGCCAAGUGCGCGUGGCGUGGCAUCCUCCCGGAGUCGGGAUGAUGCGACGCUACACCCUGGGUCCAGUGCGCUUGGCCGAGGUCUUCGGGGGUCAUCCGGCCACAGACCUUGCUGUGGAGGAUGUCGAAAGUGACAGCUCGUCCGAGCUGACACUUUCUGUUUGGUCGUGUUCUGCCCGUUCGUCCGCGACGGCGACGCCACCGCCUUGCCGAAGUCUGGACGGGGAGGAGUCGGAGGAGAGAGCCCCCGAAGUCGAGGGACCGUGCUGUCCGUGGUUUUGUUGCUGCGGACGGCUGCGGUUGCCUUGGCCUAGGCGGUGAUCUUCUUCGACUUCCUCUUCUUCACCCGGAUGCGACUUUCUUACCGGAUUCGACACUUUUCACCCGGACAUGACAUCUUUUAACGGACGUGACCUCUUUUACCCGGACGUGACCCACGGACUUGACACGUUUCUUCACCGGACGCGACAUUCGGCCGACCUUUCUUCCCAAACAGCUGUUAUGAGGAUUGAGCUUCCGGUUAGGGUUCGUUAGCUUAGCCUAGGCUAGGUCAGGUCCUUCGCUUUUCUCAUAACACUGUUUGGGAAGAAAGGCUGUCUGAUUAAGGAACAUUUGGGAGGGAGAAGUAUCUCCCUCCUCAACUUUACCACGAAGAGGACCAAGAAGUGGCCAUUUAUCGUACAAGUGAAUAUUUUCCGAUGACAUGCCGAAGAUGUUCUUCGAUCAUACACAUACACGCACGGACAUAACACCACUGUACACGAAGAUAUACACCGUUUAACCUUUACUCGAAUUCUCGCACUCACGCACUUACACGUCAAGCGCCUUGUUCUGUGUAAUUCGACACAAUGAAACAACCCGA